RNAcentral lists this ribosomal RNA (253 nucleotides) under uncultured bacterium. RNAcentral's name for it is "partial 16S ribosomal RNA". It matches the Rfam family "Bacterial small subunit ribosomal RNA", at positions 524 to 776 of the family's 1533-position model. The record is from RNAcentral.
UACGGAGGAUCCGAGCGUUAUCCGGAUUUAUUGGGUUUAAAGGGUGCGUAGGCGGUUUGAUAAGUUAGAGGUGAAAUGUCGGGGCUCAACCCCGAAACUGCCUCUAAUACUGUUGGACUAGAGAAUAGUUGCGGUAGGCGGAAUGUAUGGUGUAGCGGUGAAAUGCUUAGAGAUCAUACAGAACACCGAUUGCGAAGGCAGCUUACCAAACUACAUCUGACGUUGAGGCACGAAAGCGUGGGUAGCAAACAGG